AGAAUUUCUAUUUUAAAAUUAGAUUUUAAAACACUGCGCGCACCCAUACGGUGUCGCAGGCCACUUGGCUAUACUUUAAAGUCUCCAUACGGUGUUGCUAGGCUCUUAAAAGAUAAUUAUCACAUAAUUAGUAGUACCCCAAAAUUCAUAACCCACCAACCAAUCAUAUCCACUAUUCACACACUUCUUCCUGAAACUAAUGUGUACAUUCCUUGUUUCAGAAAACAAGGGGGUGGAAGAAUUGAAAUACUUUGUACAGAAAGAAAUUGAAAAUUAUUGAAGACUGAAAUAUAGUUUCAAGUAUAUGGAACCAGCUGGGAGUCAGGGUGGAACUGAAGCUGCUGCAGGCAGUAGUCCUACCUUUCAUCCAAGCCAAUGAAACUGUGACAGAUACCAUGCAUACCAGAGAGGCUCAGCAGUCUAGAUGUUAAGGGAGUGUGACCAGCAAAGAGCUAAGUGGCUGCCUAAGUCUUUUUUUGAACACAGGGAUGGACAUCCCAGGGCCACCCACGUCAAUGUGCGUAUUCUAGCAAGUCCCAGCAAGCAUGGAACUGUACCUUCUGGCAGUUCAGGAAUGAUUGGCAAGCUUGGGGCACCUCACCAUGAACACAGAUAUCUGUGCCCUAUGUUCCCUGACACAGUGCAAGUCACACAGGCUCCCACAAGGCAACCUUAGCCAUCUGCAAAAAGUUUUGUUAAAUGGAAGCGCAAUACUUCUCAAAUUGCUGAGAGGAAAUUCAUCUGGAGGUUUGCACUGACAGUGAAUGGACUGAAAAUGAAGAUUUGGCGAGAAAGAGUUGGAACUCGACACAAAGCAGUCCACAGUGAGCUCCAUGCAAGGGGAAAGGAGAAGGUCAAUCUGUGAGCUCGGCUCCUAAAACAGUUUUCACACCUCACGGUGUAUUUUUUUUUCGGGACUAGAGAAGAGGAGAUAUUCAUCCAUUUUUUCAUUAGUGGUAUUUUAUGAAGUAAAAUUAUUUGUCCCAAACCUUAUUGAAGGGUACAAAAGUACUUUCUGUAAUCCAUUAAAAGAUUAAUGUAGAACCAAAUUGGAUAGCCAGUGUGUCGUUCUGUCAUCUGAAACUGGUGUCAUAUUUUAAUCAUAUAAGUACAUGAUAUGUGUUAAUAUUGUAACGUGUUUACGUUACUGAAUACGCCGU
Molecule: RNA transcript, 1160 nt
Organism: Cryptotermes secundus
Lineage: Eukaryota; Metazoa; Arthropoda; Insecta; Blattodea; Kalotermitidae
Exons: 4
Source: RefSeq, a predicted model, not a curated record